CCGGAUAAUCCUUUCCCUCACAUGAGGGAAAGCUGAAAGACGGUUUCGGCUGUCACUUACAGAUGGGCCCGCGGCGCAUUAGCUAGUUGGUGAGGUAACGGCUCACCAAGGCGACGAUGCGUAGCCGACCUGAGAGGGUGAUCGGCCACACUGGGACUGAGACACGGCCCAGACUCCUACGGGAGGCAGCAGUAGGGAAUCUUCCGCAAUGGACGAAAGUCUGACGGAGCAACGCCGCGUGAGCGAUGAAGGCCUUCGGGUCGUAAAGCUCUGUUGUCAGGGAAGAACAAGUACCGGAGUAACUGCCGGUACCUUGACGGUACCUGACCAGAAAGCCACGGCUAACUACGUGCCAGCAGCCGCGGUAAUACGUAGGUGGCAAGCGUUGUCCGGAAUUAUUGGGCGUAAAGCGCGCGCAGGCGGUUCCUUAAGUCUGAUGUGAAAGCCCCCGGCUCAACCGGGGAGGGUCAUUGGAAACUGGGGAACUUGAGUGCAGAAGAGGAGAGCGGAAUUCCACGUGUAGCGGUGAAAUGCGUAGAGAUGUGGAGGAACACCAGUGGCGAAGGCGGCUCUCUGGUCUGUAACUGACGCUGAGGCGCGAAAGCGUGGGGAGCGAACAGGAUUAGAUACCCUGGUAGUCCACGCCGUAAACGAUGAGUGCUAAGUGUUAGAGGGUUUCCGCCCUUUAGUGCUGCAGCAAACGCAUUAAGCACUCCGCCUGGGGAGUACGGCCGCAAGGCU
Molecule: ribosomal RNA, 741 nt
Filed under: Mesobacillus subterraneus
Lineage: Bacteria; Bacillati; Bacillota; Bacilli; Caryophanales; Bacillaceae
Description: bacterial SSU rRNA
Rfam family: Bacterial small subunit ribosomal RNA
Source: RNAcentral